RNAcentral lists this ribosomal RNA (1585 nucleotides) under Lentisphaerota bacterium. RNAcentral's name for it is "bacterial SSU rRNA". It matches the Rfam family "Bacterial small subunit ribosomal RNA". Lineage: Bacteria; Pseudomonadati; Lentisphaerota. The record is from RNAcentral.
AUAUGGCAAGUUUGAUCCUGGCUCAGAACGAACGCUGGCGGCGUGGAUUAGGCAUGCAAGUCGAACGAGAAUCUGAGAGUCCAAGUUUUCGGACAAGGACUUUUGGAGGAAAGUGGCGGAAGGGUGAGUACAACAUGGAUAAUCUACCUUCAAGUUGGGUAUAGCUUUCCGAAAGGAGAGAUAAUCCCGGAUGUGGUGAUCCGGCGCAUGCCGGAGACUCCAAAGGUGGGGACCGCAAGGCCUGCCGCUUGAAGAUGAGUCCGUGCACUAUCAGCUAGUUGGUGAGGUAAUGGCUCACCAAGGCUAUGACGGUUAGCUGGUCUGAGAGGAUGGUCAGCCACACUGGGACUGAGAUACUGCCCAGACUCCUACGGGAGGCUGCAGUCGAGAAUCAUUCGCAAUGGGCGAAAGCCUGACGGUGCGACGUCGCGUGGAGGAUGACGGUCUUCGGAUUGUAAACUCCUGUCAUGUGGGAUAAAUAGCCCGGGUGUGAAUAGCACUUGGGACUGAUAGUACCACAGGAGGAAGAGACGGCUAACUCUGUGCCAGCAGCCGCGGUAAUUCAGAGGUCUCGAGCGUUGUUCGGAUUUACUGGGCGUAAAGGGAGCGUAGGCGGCCGGGUGUGUCGAAUGUGAAAGCCCACAACUCAACUGUGGAAUGGCAUUCGAAACUACCUGGCUAGAGUACUGGAGAGGAGAGCGGAAUUCUUGGUGUAGCGGUGAAAUGCGUAGAUAUCAAGAGGAACACCGGUGGCGAAGGCGGCUCUCUGGACAGAUACUGACGCUGAGGCUCUAAAGUUAGGGGAGCAAACAGGAUUAGAUACCCUGGUAGUCCUAACUGUAAACGGUGUACACUUGGUGUGCGAGGAAUUGUCCCUUUGCGCGCCGUAGCUAACGCGUUAAGUGUACCGCCUGGGGAGUACGGUCGCAAGAUUAAAACUCAAAGGAAUUGACGGGGACCCGCACAAGCGGUGGAGCAUGUGGCUUAAUUCGAUGCAACGCGAAGAACCUUACCUGGACUUGACAUGCAAGUGGUAGAACCCUGAAAGGGGGACGACCGUAGCAAUACGGAGCUUGCACAGGUGCUGCAUGGCUGUCGUCAGCUCGUGCCGUGAGGUGUUGGGUUAAGUCCCGCAACGAGCGCAACCCCUGUGGUUAGUUGCCCUUAUUCAGUUAGGCACUCUAGCCAGACUGCCUGUGAUAAGCAGGAGGAAGGUGGGGAUGACGUCAAGUCAGUAUGGUCCUUAUGUCCAGGGCUGCACACGUGCUACAAUGACCGGCACAGAAGGAAGCGAAACCGCGAGGUGGAGCUAAUCUCCAAAACCGGUCCCAGUUCGGAUUGGAGUCUGCAACCCGACUCCAUGAAGCCGGAAUCGCUAGUAACGGCGCAUCAGCUACGGCGCCGUGAAUACGUUCCCGGGUCUUGUACACACCGCCCGUCACAUCAUGGAAGCCGAUUGCACCCGAAGUCGUUGACUCAACCCGCAAGGGAGAUAGACGCCCAAGGUACGAUUGGUGACUGGGAUGAAGUCGUAACAAGGUAGCCGUUGGGGAACCAGCGGCUGGAUCACCUCCUUUCUAAGGAG